RNAcentral lists this ribosomal RNA (275 nucleotides) under uncultured bacterium. RNAcentral describes it as "partial 16S ribosomal RNA". It matches the Rfam family "Bacterial small subunit ribosomal RNA", at positions 47 to 339 of the family's 1533-position model. The record is from RNAcentral.
CUUAACACAUGCAAGUCGAACGGGAAGGUCCCUUCGGGAACCGGCGAGUGGCGCACGGGUGAGUAACGCGUGGGGAUCUGCCUCGAAGUGGGGAAUAACCGCUGGAAACGGCGGCUAAUACCGCAUACGCCCUCAGGGGGAAAGCUUUAUGCGCUUCGAGAUGAACCCGCGUCGGAUUAGCUAGUUGGUGAGGUAAAGGCUCACCAAGGCGACGAUCCGUAGCUGGUCUGAGAGGAUGAUCAGCCACACUGGGACUGAGACACGGCCCAGGCUCC